UGGGGAAUAUUGCACAAUGGGGGAAACCCUGAUGCAGCGACGCCGCGUGAGCGAAGAAGUAUUUCGGUAUGUAAAGCUCUAUCAGCAGGGAAGAAAAUGACGGUACCUGACUAAGAAGCACCGGCUAAAUACGUGCCAGCAGCCGCGGUAAUACGUAUGGUGCAAGCGUUAUCCGGAUUUACUGGGUGUAAAGGGAGCGUAGACGGCUGUGUAAGUCUGAAGUGAAAGCCCGGGGCUCAACCCCGGGACUGCUUUGGAAACUAUGCAGCUAGAGUGUCGGAGAGGUAAGUGGAAUUCCCAGUGUAGCGGUGAAAUGCGUAGAUAUUGGGAGGAACACCAGUGGCGAAGGCGGCUUACUGGACGAUGACUGACGUUGAGGCUCGAAAGCGUGGGGAGCAAACAGGAU
RNAcentral lists this ribosomal RNA (406 nucleotides) under uncultured bacterium. RNAcentral describes it as "bacterial SSU rRNA". It matches the Rfam family "Bacterial small subunit ribosomal RNA", at positions 355 to 778 of the family's 1533-position model. The record is from RNAcentral.